AAGGUUGAUCCGAACCUGAAAUCGGAGUGUUUUGGGUUAGCUUGUACCCGGGAAACAAGUAGACUAGCUUGGGAUAGCUAGUGUCGGAGUUUCCGACGUUUUGUAUUCGAGUUGAAUACAAGUAUAGUGGAUUGAAAUUCCCAAGUAGGAGCUUGGAGAGUGGAUGUAGGUGCAAGGUUGGCACCGAACCACUAUAAAUCCUUGUGUUUGUGGUGUGCU
RNAcentral lists this long non-coding RNA (219 nucleotides) under Elaeis guineensis (African oil palm). RNAcentral's name for it is "long non-coding RNA (EGUI_LNC048703)". The record is from RNAcentral. Lineage: Eukaryota; Viridiplantae; Streptophyta; Magnoliopsida; Arecales; Arecaceae.